RNAcentral lists this ribosomal RNA (348 nucleotides) under uncultured eukaryote. RNAcentral's name for it is "SSU rRNA". It matches the Rfam family "Eukaryotic small subunit ribosomal RNA", at positions 594 to 945 of the family's 1831-position model. The record is from RNAcentral.
AUAGCGUAUACUAAAGUUGUUGCCGUUAAAAAGCUCGUAGUCGAACUUCGGCCUUUGCCGCCCGGUCCGCCUAUUUGGUGUGUACUGGAGCGGUGGAGGCCUACCUCGUGGUGAAUGGCCAUGCUCUUUACUGGGUGUGGUCGGGAACCAUGACUUUUACCUUGAAAAAAUUAGAGUGUUCAAAGCAGGCUUACGCCCGAAUACAUUAGCAUGGAAUAAUGAAAUAGGACGUGCGGUUCUAUUUUGUUGGUUUCUAGGAUCGCCGUAAUGAUUAAUAGGGAUAGUUGGGGGCAUUCGUAUUCAAUUGCUAGAGGUGAAAUUCUUGGAUUUAUUGAAGACUAACUACUG